Molecule: ribosomal RNA, 110 nt
Filed under: Octodon degus (degu)
Lineage: Eukaryota; Metazoa; Chordata; Mammalia; Rodentia; Octodontidae
Source: RNAcentral
AGCUGUAUAACCUGAAUGUACCUGGUUGCAUUUGAUCUUGGAAGCUAAGCAGGUUCCCACCUGGUUAGUACUUGGAUGGGGAACUAUUAGAAAGCCUAGUUUAAUGGCUU